RNAcentral lists this ribosomal RNA (518 nucleotides) under bacterium symbiont of Megymenum gracilicorne. RNAcentral describes it as "bacterial SSU rRNA". It matches the Rfam family "Bacterial small subunit ribosomal RNA", at positions 527 to 1041 of the family's 1533-position model. The record is from RNAcentral.
GGAGGGUGCAAGCGUUAAUCGGAAUUACUGGGCGUAAAGCGCACGCAGGCGGUCUGUCAAGUCGGAUGUGAAAUCCCCGGGCUUAACCUGGGAACUGCAUUCGAAACUGGCAGGCUGGAGUCUUGUAGAGGGGGGUAGAAUUCCAGGUGUAGCGGUGAAAUGCGUAGAGAUCUGGAGGAAUACCGGUGGCGAAGGCGGCCCCCUGGACAAAGACUGACGCUCAGGUGCGAAAGCGUGGGGAGCAAACAGGAUUAGAUACCCUGGUAGUCCACGCCGUAAACGAUGUCGACUUGGAGGUUGUUCCCUUGAGGAGUGGCUUCCGGAGCUAACGCGUUAAGUCGACCGCCUGGGGAGUACGGCCGCAAGGUUAAAACUCAAAUGAAUUGACGGGGACCCGCACAAGCGGUGGAGCAUGUGGUUUAAUUCGAUGCAACGCGAAAAACCUUACCACUCCUUGACAUGGAAAUUAUACCUAUUCGAAGGGAUAGGGUCGGUUCGGCCGGGUUUCACACAGGUGU